This 323-nucleotide ribosomal RNA is filed under the name Allapsidae sp. RNAcentral's name for it is "SSU rRNA". The stretch from base 106 to 323 matches the Rfam family "Eukaryotic small subunit ribosomal RNA", at positions 737 to 955 of the family's 1831-position model. Lineage: Eukaryota; Cercozoa; Glissomonadida; Viridiraptoridae. The record is from RNAcentral.
GAUUUCUGGCUUGGUGCGCCUGGCCCGCCACGGUUACGUGCGUGAGUGCCGGGUCGCGCCUGCCAUCCUUCUAGAGAACGCCUCUACUCUUCAUUGAGCUGGAGGCGCAAUCUAGAUCUUUUACUUUGAAAAAAUUAGAGUGUUUCAAGCAGGCGUUUUGCUAUGAAUACAUUAGCAUGGAAUAAUGAGUUAGGACUUCGGUUCUAUUUUGUUGGUUUCUAGGACUGAAGUAAUGAUUGAUAGGGAUAGUUGGGGGUGCUAGUAUUCAGCGGCCAGAGGUGAAAUUCUUGGAUUCGCUGAAGACUAACUUAUGCGAAAGCAUU